UACAGAGGUCCCAAGCGUUGUUCGGAUUUACUGGGCGUAAAGGGAGCGUAGGUGGCAUUCCAAGUCUGAUGUGAAAGCUCUGAGCUUAACUCAGAAAUGGCAUUAGAUACUGGUUUGCUCGAGGAUUGGAGGGGAGAUUGGAAUUCUUGGUGUAGCAGUGAAAUGCGUAGAUAUCAAGAGGAACACCAGUGGCGAAGGCGAAUCUCUGGACAAUUCCUGACACUGAUGCUCGAAAGCUAGGGGAGCAAACGGG
RNAcentral lists this ribosomal RNA (253 nucleotides) under uncultured bacterium. RNAcentral's name for it is "partial 16S ribosomal RNA". It matches the Rfam family "Bacterial small subunit ribosomal RNA", at positions 524 to 776 of the family's 1533-position model. The record is from RNAcentral.